UAUUCAGAUUGGUGCCUGUCA
This 21-nucleotide non-coding RNA is filed under the name Mus musculus (house mouse). The record is from RNAcentral. Lineage: Eukaryota; Metazoa; Chordata; Mammalia; Rodentia; Muridae.